GGUGCCACUACAACCCUAAGGAAUUUAUGGUAAUGGGUGUUACAACUUGCUCUGCGGCCACACAUUCGUCUCGAUCCAGUCGAGGUAGUGUGCGACGCGCGUGUAGACGCCGGG
Molecule: long non-coding RNA, 114 nt
Organism: Aricia agestis (brown argus)
Lineage: Eukaryota; Metazoa; Arthropoda; Insecta; Lepidoptera; Lycaenidae
Exons: 2
Source: RefSeq, a predicted model, not a curated record